UACGUAGGAGGCGAGCGUUGUCCGGAAUCAUUGGGCGUAAAGAGCGCGCAGGCGGCUUGGCAAGUCGGGUGUGAAAAUCCCGGGGGCUCAACCCCGGGACGUGCAUUCGAUACUGUCAAGCUAGAGGUAGGUAGGGGAGAUCGGAAUUCCUGGUGUAGCGGUGAAAUGCGCAGACAUCAGGAGGAACACCGGUGGCGAAGGCGGAUCUCUGGGCCUUACCUGACGCUCAGGCGCGAAAGCUAGGGGAGCGAACAGGAUUAG
Molecule: ribosomal RNA, 261 nt
Filed under: uncultured bacterium
Lineage: Bacteria
Description: partial 16S ribosomal RNA
Rfam family: Bacterial small subunit ribosomal RNA
Source: RNAcentral